UCGCGGGGUGGAGCAGUGGUAGCUCAUUGGGCUCAUAACCCAAAGGUCGCUGGUUCGAAUCCAGCCCCCGCUAU
This 74-nucleotide transfer RNA is filed under the name subsurface metagenome. RNAcentral's name for it is "tRNA-Met". It matches the Rfam family "tRNA". From Rfam's summary of the family: Transfer RNA (tRNA) molecules are approximately 80 nucleotides in length. Their secondary structure includes four short double-helical elements and three loops (D, anti-codon, and T loops). The record is from RNAcentral.